RNAcentral lists this ribosomal RNA (500 nucleotides) under uncultured bacterium. RNAcentral's name for it is "partial 16S ribosomal RNA". It matches the Rfam family "Bacterial small subunit ribosomal RNA", at positions 28 to 507 of the family's 1533-position model. The record is from RNAcentral.
GACGAACGCUGGCGGCGUGCCUAAUACAUGCAAGUCGAGCGGACUGAUUAAGAGCUUGCUCUUAUGACGUUAGCGGCGGACGGGUGAGUAACACGUGGGCAACCUGCCCUGUAGAUCGGGAUAACACCGAGAAAUCGGUGCUAAUACCGGGUAAUAUCUGAGAUCACAUGAUCUUAGGUUAAAAGAUGGCUCCGGCUAUCACUACAGGAUGGGCCCGCGGCGCAUUAGCUAGUUGGUAAGGUAAUGGCUUACCAAGGCGACGAUGCGUAGCCGACCUGAGAGGGUGAUCGGCCACACUGGGACUGAGACACGGCCCAGACUCCUACGGGAGGCAGCAGUAGGGAAUCUUCCGCAAUGGACGAAAGUCUGACGGAGCAACGCCGCGUGAGUGAUGAAGGGUUUCGGCUCGUAAAGCUCUGUUGUUAGGGAAGAAACAAUACCGAACGAACUAGGUCGGUACCUUGACGGUACCUAACCAGAAAGCCACGGCUAACUACGUG